This 446-nucleotide ribosomal RNA is filed under the name uncultured bacterium. RNAcentral describes it as "SSU rRNA". It matches the Rfam family "Bacterial small subunit ribosomal RNA", at positions 26 to 518 of the family's 1533-position model. The record is from RNAcentral.
AGAAUGAACGCUGGCGGCAUGCCUAACACAUGCAAGUCGAACGAAGCCUUCGGGUUUAGUGGCGCACGGGUGCGUAACGCGUGGGAAUCUACCCCUUGGUUCGGAAUAACAGUUGGAAACGACUGCUAAUACCGGAUGAUGACGUAAGUCCAAAGAUUUAUCGCCGAGGGAUGAGCCCGCGUAGGAUUAGGUAGUUGGUGUGGUAAAGGCGCACCAAGCCGACGAUCCUUAGCUGGUCUGAGAGGAUGAUCAGCCACACUGGGACUGAGACACGGCCCAGACUCCUACGGGAGGCAGCAGUGGGGAAUAUUGGACAAUGGGCGAAAGCCUGAUCCAGCAAUGCCGCGUGAGUGAUGAAGGCCUUAGGGUUGUAAAGCUCUUUUACCCGGGAUGAUAAUGACAGUACCGGGAGAAUAAGCUCCGGCUAACUCCGCGCUAGCAGCCGC